UGGAGGCAGCAGUGAGGAAUCUUCCGCAAUGGACGAAAGUCUGACGGAGCAACGCCGCGUGUAUGAAGAAGGCCUUCGGGUUGUAAAGUACUGUUGUUGGGGAAGAACGGCUCUUGUGAAAAUAUUGCAAGGGAUUGACGGUACCCAACGAGGAAGCCCCGGCUAACUACGUGCCAGCAGCCGCGGUAAUACGUAGGGGGCAAGCGUUGUCCGGAAUCAUUGGGCGUAAAGGGCGCGUAGGCGGGCAUAUAAGUCUGAUGUGAAAGUGCGGAGCUUAACUCCGUAAAGCAUUGGAAACUGUGUGUCUUGAGGACAGGAGAGGAAAGUGGAAUUUCUAGUGUAGCGGUGAAAUGCGUAGAUAUUAGGAGGAACACCAGUGGCGAAGGCGACUUUCUGGACUGUAACUGACGCUGAGGCGCGAAAGCGUGGGGAGCGAACAGGAUUAGAUACCCUAGUA
This 457-nucleotide ribosomal RNA is filed under the name uncultured bacterium. Its description in RNAcentral is "bacterial SSU rRNA". It matches the Rfam family "Bacterial small subunit ribosomal RNA", at positions 343 to 792 of the family's 1533-position model. The record is from RNAcentral.